GGGGAUGACAGGUUUCGACGGGGAAGGCUGGUCCUGGACUGCAAGCCGAGCGCCGCUUCACAACUCGUAAAACUGGAAGCAAAAACAUAAGUGCAAACGCACGAACCAACUACAACGCACUCCCCCUCGCUGCUUAAUCGCAGUGGCGGUUUAGGUGACUAGGCCGCCAGGGAUUGCAGAGGUUCCAAAAACGGAACCCCGUCUGUUUUAUUUCGCUCAUUGGCCGGAUAAAUGCAGGCGACACUCAGCCAACGUGCUUCAUCUCGACGCCGAUGGAGAUGAUUAAGAGGCUCUUUCGGGAGCCAUCGGCUAGCCGGUAGCUGACCCUGUUGGCCGGGGCGCCUUCCGGCAACAUCAAAUAGACCGACUAAGCUUGUAGAGGUUCAGAGGUCGAAUUUUUCGGACGUGGGUUCGAAUCCCACCAUCUCCACAA
RNAcentral lists this transfer-messenger RNA (433 nucleotides) under Desulfobacterales bacterium. It matches the Rfam family "transfer-messenger RNA". Rfam says of the family: Bacterial tmRNA, also known as 10Sa RNA or SsrA, is named for its dual tRNA and mRNA-like properties. Its role is to liberate the mRNA from a stalled ribosome. Lineage: Bacteria; Pseudomonadati; Thermodesulfobacteriota; Desulfobacteria; Desulfobacterales. The record is from RNAcentral.